GCUGCACGCAGCGAUGGCGUCGAGGCCUCGAGGGUCGGGAUCGAAGUGUCGAACUGCCUGGCUGCCUCCGCGGUGAAGUAUGCUGCUGCCUGCCGCGCGCGGCGAGCCGGCGACGACCAAACCUUACUGCUCAGAGCCACAGAGGGAGCAGUACAACUCUGAGUGACCCACACAGCAUGUCAUUUGUACAUGAGGUAGCCGUACAAGAACUCAUUCCAGACAUCAGGAACACCCGGGAGGCACCAGUGCGUGCAAUCCGCGUAGCUGGCUGGGUUCGCCAUCUGUUCUUUUGUCAGAGGGGCAAACUGUCUCCUGAACACCGUCGGGUGCCCGUCCUUACGGAUGCAGGAGUAGUGCUUGUACUGAACUCACCAGGAAUGUGUAGGCGAUGAUCCUGCGAAAAAGAUUCUAGUCUUCUUCUUGUCUAUGUUCUCUCCCAGCCAUUCGGCUUAUGCUUCCUCCACCACACGUAAGAAUUGAAGAUAAUGAUGUCAGCAUCCCUCCAGGCAUUGGCAUGCUUCUCAAUUCUGUCUGCCCUUAUGAUCCGAUACUCCACCCGGUGAAUAAUGGGGUCAUCGCUGUUGGACUCCACCAGCAGCGGUGACCAGUAGAAGUCUAUUGUUGCAUUGUAUUCCUAAAAUAAUAAAUUAAUAAUCUUUUUUUGGAUCGGCUAAUGGAAAUCAUUGGAUUUAUAGUAGCCUUUAGAUUUAUGCAGGAAAAAACAUACAAAUGCCUUGAAGGAGAUGAGUGAGCCAUUGAAGACACGCAUCUUGAGCCUGUCAUCAGGUAUAGAGGCCUCCACCAUACACACCAGGGAAACCCAUUGGUUCCUGUUGAGUACAGUAGCUCUGUAAAGCAUGGAUGAGGAGAAACAUCUGCAAGCAACACUGGACAGUGGUAAAGUUGUUGCGUAUUUAUAGCAUAUGAGAUGGAUCCUUGCAAAGCUUAGAUGAGCUGGUGGGUACUUCCACGGCACGGAGCAGAAGCAAGUCGCUAUCAUGGGAUACCUGUUACCUAAUGCUUGCUACUCCACAUGGUUCCCUCAGGGAUCAGACUGCUGGUUACUUCCUGAAAGUCCAAGGAGAGUCAGUACAACUGCUAUGGACAUCAGCAAGUAUGUUCUUGUCAUCUUGCUCUGGUGUAAAAGACAGCAAUUAAGUGGGCUUCAGCUAGCUGCAAAGGCAAGUAGUAGUUGGAAUGCUUUCCGUCGAUUAACUCCCAUGAUUCCAAAUAUAAUAUGCACCGACAUCCUGGACCAUAACGUAAUUCGUUUAAGAUUAUUCUCUAAAUGUAAGUUGUUACAGGACUUGGGAGAGCUUGUUCCCCAUUUUUUCCUCAUGAGUAAAUGAGGCUUCGUUUCCAAA
Setaria italica (foxtail millet) is the source of this 1364-nucleotide long non-coding RNA. RefSeq lists it as uncharacterized. The transcript is spliced from 5 exons. The record is from RefSeq and is a predicted model, not a curated record. NCBI's taxonomy places the organism in Eukaryota, Viridiplantae, Streptophyta, Magnoliopsida, Poales, Poaceae.